GUGAGGAAUAUUGCGCAAUGGAGGCAACUCUGACGCAGCCAUGCCGCGUGCAGGAAGAAGGUGCUACGCGUUGUAAACUGCUUUUAACCGGGAAGAAACCCCAGGACGUGUCCUGGGUUGACGGUACCGGAGGAAUAAGCACCGGCUAACUUCGUGCCAGCAGCCGCGGUAAUACGAAGGGUGCAAGCGUUAUCCGGAUUCAUUGGGUUUAAAGGGUGCGUAGGCGGAGCGUUAAGUCAGUGGUGAAAUCCUGCAGCUUAACUGUAGACUUGCCAUUGAUACUGGCGCUCUUGAGUGCGCUUGAAGUGGGCGGAAUGUGCCGUGUAGCGGUGAAAUGCUUAGAUAUGGCACAGAACACCAAUUGCGAAGGCAGCUCACUAAGGCGAUACUGACGCUGAGGCACGAAAGCGUGGGGAUCGAACAGGAUUAGAUACCACGGUAGUCC
RNAcentral lists this ribosomal RNA (445 nucleotides) under uncultured bacterium. RNAcentral describes it as "bacterial SSU rRNA". It matches the Rfam family "Bacterial small subunit ribosomal RNA", at positions 354 to 796 of the family's 1533-position model. The record is from RNAcentral.